Molecule: long non-coding RNA, 1682 nt
Organism: Bombina bombina (fire-bellied toad)
Lineage: Eukaryota; Metazoa; Chordata; Amphibia; Anura; Bombinatoridae
Exons: 2
Source: RefSeq, a predicted model, not a curated record
UAUUGUACAAGGCAGCUGUGUUACAAGUAGACUAGUUAGGUAGACUGGAGUUACACACGUGUAAAUUAGAUGGGGGGGCUAAACAAAUGGCUGGGGGAUGCACACAGAUAUUGUACAAGGCAGCUGUGUUACAAGUAGACUAGUUAGGUAGACUGGAGUUACACACGUGUAAAUUAGAUGGGGGGCUAAACAAAUGGCUGGGGAUGCACACAGAUAUUGUACAAGGCAGCUGUGUUACAAGUAGACUAGUUAGGUAGACUGGAGUUACACACGUGUAAAUUAGAUGGGGGGCUAAACAAAUGGCUGGGGGAUGCACACAGAUAUUGUACAAGGCAGCUGUGUUACAAGUAGACUAGUUAGGUAGACUGGAGUUACACACGUGUAAAUUAGAUGGGGGGGCUAAACAAAUGGCUGGGGGAUGCACACAGAUAUUGUACAAGGCAGCUGUGUUACAAGUAGACUAGUUAGGUAGACUGGAGUUACACACGUGUAAAUUAGAUGGGGGGCUAAACAAAUGGCUGGGGAUGCACACAGAUAUUGUACAAGGCAGCUGUGUUACAAGUAGACUAGUUAGGAAGACUGGAGUUACACACGUGUAAAUUAGAUGGGGGGCUAAACAAAUGGUUGGGGGAUGCACACAGAUAUUGUACAAGGCAGCUGUGUUACAAGUAGACUAGUUAGGUAGACUGGAGUUACACACGUGUAAAUUAGAUGGGGGGGCUAAACAAAUGGCUGGGGAUGCACACAGAUAUUGUACAAGGCAGCUGUGUUACAAGUAGACUAGUUAGGUAGACUGGAGUUACACACGUGUAAAUUAGAUGGGGGGCUAAACAAAUGGCUGGGGAUGCACACAGAUAUUGUACAAGGCAGCUGUGUUACAAGUAGACUAGUUAGGUAGACUGGAGUUACACACGUGUAAAUUAGAUGGGGGCUAAACAAAUGGCUGGGGAUGCACACAGAUAUUGUACAAGGCAGCUGUGUUACAAGUAGACUAGUUAGGUAGACUGGAGUUACACACGUGUAAAUUAGAUGGGGGGGGCUAAACAAAUGGCUGGGGGAUGCACACAGAUAUUGUACAAGGCAGCUGUGUUACAAGUAGACUAGUUAGGUAGACUGGAGUUACACACGUGUAAAUUAGAUGGGGGCUAAACAAAUGGCUGGGGGAUGCACACAGAUAUUGUACAAGGCAGCUGUGUUACAAGUAGACUAGUUAGGUAGACUGGAGUUACACACGUGUAAAUUAGAUGGGGGGGCUAAACAAAUGGCUGGGGAUGCACACAGAUAUUGUACAAGGCAGCUGUGUUACAAGUAGACUAGUUAGGUAGACUGGAGUUACACACGUGUAAAUUAGAUGGGGGGCUAAACAAAUGGCUGGGGAUGCACACAGAUAUUGUACAAGGCAGCUGUGUUACAAGUAGACUAGUUAGGUAGACUGGAGUUACACACGUGUAAAUUAGAUGGGGGGCUAAACAAAUGGCUGGGGGAUGCACACAGAUAUUGUACAAGGCAGCUGUGUUACAAGUAGACUAGUUAGGUAGACUGGAGUUACACACGUGUAAAUUAGAUGGGGGCUAAACAAAUGGCUGGGGGAUGCACACAGAUAUUGUACAAGGCAGCUGUGUUACAAGUAGACUAGUUAGGUAGACUGGAGUUACACACGUGUAAAUUAGAUGGGGGCUAAA